GGUUGAGAGGGUGAUCUGGCUGGGACAUCUGUCACCCCACUCAUGCCAGGAUUGAUUUGGCUGCUCUGGUUGGCCAGGCAGGUGUCCCCUUCCUUCCUUACUGCUGCAUGCACAUACAUCCCAAAGCUGUGUGCUUGAUUGAAGAAAACAACCGCACCCAUAGAGGAAAACUGUUACUUAGUCAAGACAAUGUGAGUAGCUCUGCUCUCCUGUUAGAACCUCUAACCAAGCUCUCAAAGCCCAUUUAUGGAAGAACAUAGCGUAGGCAAGCUUCCCAAAACUCCAGACAUAUCCACAGGAGGCACUGAAUGUGGCAGUCUACCUUUCUAA
Molecule: small nuclear RNA, 330 nt
Filed under: Vulpes vulpes (red fox)
Lineage: Eukaryota; Metazoa; Chordata; Mammalia; Carnivora; Canidae
Description: 7SK RNA (ENSVVUG00000021438.1)
Rfam family: 7SK RNA
About the family: 7SK was discovered as an abundant small nuclear RNA in the mid-70s but a possible function has only recently been suggested. Two independent studies have found that 7SK RNA binds the CDK9/cyclin T complex (known as elongation factor P-TEFb). P-TEFb activates transcription by phosphorylating the C-terminal domain of RNA polymerase II.
Source: Rfam by way of RNAcentral